This is a long non-coding RNA of Haemorhous mexicanus (house finch), 350 nucleotides long. RefSeq lists it as uncharacterized. NCBI's taxonomy places the organism in Eukaryota, Metazoa, Chordata, Aves, Passeriformes, Fringillidae. The record is from RefSeq and is a predicted model, not a curated record. The transcript is spliced from 2 exons.
GGCGACGAGGGGGAUUCUGCAGCUUUGACGGCUGCAUCUCCCAGACAAAACCUAUUGGAAGAUGUUCAUCAGUCAGUCUGUGCUGCAAAAGUCGCUGGGUUUGAGACCCUGAAAUUCCCAAGCAGGACAUGGCCCUCGCUUCUGCCUGCUGGACCCAUCUGCUGAUGACCCCAUCUGCUGAUGUCCCCUGCUCUCCAUGCCUGUGCUAUGCCCAGCUGGUCUGACAGCAGCAGUGGCAGCUGCUCCUGCUGGGUGCUGCUGGGCUGGAGCCCUGUGGUGCCAGCCCCGGUGUCUUUGGGGCAGGGGCUGCUUUUCCCGGCUUGAAUAAAGACGAGCACUUUGGCAUUGCA